AUUAAUCCAUCCUUAAAGAUGCAUGUAUAGAUGCUAGAACUCCAUUCUUAAUUAGCACAACUAACAUAAUUAAAAUUAUUGACAAUAUGAGUUAUUUUUUUAUUGACA
Ipomoea nil (Japanese morning glory) is the source of this 108-nucleotide long non-coding RNA. RefSeq lists it as uncharacterized. The transcript is spliced from 3 exons. The record is from RefSeq and is a predicted model, not a curated record. NCBI's taxonomy places the organism in Eukaryota, Viridiplantae, Streptophyta, Magnoliopsida, Solanales, Convolvulaceae.